Molecule: ribosomal RNA, 497 nt
Filed under: uncultured bacterium
Lineage: Bacteria
Description: partial 16S ribosomal RNA
Rfam family: Bacterial small subunit ribosomal RNA
Source: RNAcentral
GAUGAACGCUGGCGGCGUGCUUAAUACAUGCAAGUCGAGCGAACAGACGUGCUUUUCGUUCUUCUUUCGUUAGCGGCGGAUGGGUGAGUAAUACGUAACAAAUCAGUGUUCUACACCCGGCUUAGUUCGAGAAAUGGGAGCCAAUAUCUGAUAACCUAUUGAACUGCGUGGUGCUGUAGUGAAUGGCGGACUUUUUGCUACUUGUUGAUGGUUCCGUGCCGCAUUAUCUAGUUGGUAAGGUAACGGCUUACCAAGGCAACGAUGCGUAGCCGACCUGGGAGGGUGAUCGGCCACACUGGAACUGAGACACGGUCCAGACUCCUACGGGAGGCAGCAGUAGGGAAUCUUCCGCAAUGGGCGAAAGCCUGACGGAGCAACGCCGCGUGAGUGAUGAAGGUCUUCGGAUCGUAAAACUCUGUUAUUAGGGAAGAACAAAUGUGUAAGUAACUAUGCACGUCUUGACGGUACCUAAUCAGAAAGCCACGGCUAACUACGUG